Molecule: transfer RNA, 66 nt
Filed under: Tessmannella kiplingi
Lineage: Eukaryota; Metazoa; Arthropoda; Insecta; Hymenoptera; Liopteridae
Description: tRNA-Asn
Source: RNAcentral
UUAAUUGAAACCAAAUAAUGAGGUAAAUUAUUGUUAAUAAUUUUAUAGAAUAGUUUUCCAAUUAAA